RNAcentral lists this ribosomal RNA (398 nucleotides) under uncultured Saprolegniales. Its description in RNAcentral is "partial small subunit ribosomal RNA". It matches the Rfam family "Eukaryotic small subunit ribosomal RNA", at positions 30 to 432 of the family's 1831-position model. The record is from RNAcentral. Lineage: Eukaryota; Oomycota; Saprolegniomycetes; Saprolegniales.
GCUUGUCUCAAAGAUUAAGCCAUGCAUGUCUAAGUACAAGCCUCAGUAAGGUGAAACCGCGAAUGGCUCAUUAAAUCACACCUAAUCUACUGGAAAGUUACUAGUUACUUGGAUAACUGAGGUAAUUCUUGAGCUAAUACAUGCGUAAAUACCCAACUGCUUGUCGGACGGGUAGCAUUUAUUAGAUUGAAACCAAUGCAGCUUCGGCUGGUAUUGUGUUGAGUCAUAAUAACUGUGCGGAUCGCUUUUUAAGCGAUAAAUCGAUUGAGUUUCUGCCCUAUCAGCUUUGGAUGGUAGGAUAUGGGCCUACCAUGGCGUUAACGGGUAACGGGGAAUUAGGGUUUGAUUCCGGAGAGGGAGCCUUAGAAACGGCUACCACAUCCAAGGAAGGCAGCAGG